UACGUAGGGUGCGAGCGUUAAUCGGAAUUACUGGGCGUAAAGUGUGCGCAGGCGGCCGCGCAAGUCGAGUGUGAAAGCCCCGAGCUUAACUUGGGAAUUGCGCUCGAAACUACGUGGCUGGAGUGUGGCAGAGGAAGGUGGAAUUCCAGGUGUAGCGGUGAAAUGCGUAGAGAUCUGGAGGAACACCGAUGGCGAAGGCAGCCUUCUGGGCCAACACUGACGCUCAUGCACGAAAGCGUGGUGAGCAAACAGG
This 253-nucleotide ribosomal RNA is filed under the name uncultured bacterium. RNAcentral describes it as "partial 16S ribosomal RNA". It matches the Rfam family "Bacterial small subunit ribosomal RNA", at positions 524 to 776 of the family's 1533-position model. The record is from RNAcentral.